UGAGCACGUGUGCCUUGCUGUGUCUCUGGAGACACCGUGGGCAAUGCCUUAACUAGCUUCCUUCCUCUAGCAGUCAUUUCUGUUCUGCUUUUUCCUGUUAUGUGGACUAUGGCAGUCUCAGGAGAAACAGGAUUACUGAGAAAGCAAUACAAAGUCAGCAACUUUUAAACUCAGAUGUGAAAGCAUCAGCUAUUUCUGUUGUAUAUUUUAUGAAACCUUCAAACUUAUUAUGCUUGUAUGUACGGCACACUGCUGAAGAUUGUAUGAAGACUCUUUGUCCUUGGAAAAGAAUGGGACCAGCAUCUAUGCAACUCAAAUCUAUCAACAGAAUUUUCAGGUCAUAACUUGUAAAAACAACAACAACAAAAACUAGUCAAUUAAAUGUAAUAGCAUUUUUUGUCGGGUAAAUUACAGUAAGAAAUUGGUUGCUUGGGAAUUAUUCCUCUAGAAAAGCUAAUUUCUUUGUAUGCAUAAUUUUAAAUACUUAAAAGUAAUUAGGAAAUGUACUUCAUAAGCAAUUUUAAAACUUAAAAAAAAAAACACAAUUAUUGCUUUAAAACAUUUUUGCAAAUAUGCACAUUCUUCUGUUAACUGCUCAAGGAAAAUCUAGCUUGCCAAACCUGUGGCUUUUGAACAAAGUAUCCACAUUAAUUAAAUCUAGUUUGGCAUUAGGGGGGUUAUCGAGUGUUAUAAAGUGAGUGGAAAGUGAAUCUUGAAUUAUCACCAUCUACAGUUUAUUCUUUCAGUUUUUAAUGA
RNAcentral lists this long non-coding RNA (756 nucleotides) under Anser brachyrhynchus (Pink-footed goose). Its description in RNAcentral is "lncRNA (ENSABRG00000001020.1)". The record is from RNAcentral. Lineage: Eukaryota; Metazoa; Chordata; Aves; Anseriformes; Anatidae.